CGCCGCGGCCCCACCCUCCCGCAUCAGCACCGGCUGGGUGGGUGCGGAGUGCGCCAGCGGCCAAGUCAAGACUCCUUGAAUGCUCAGGAAGGUGUGACUUGCAGAGGAGUUGAUUCCUUCUUAUGUACAUUUACUGGAGAAGUUUACAGCAGGAGACUGGGGUCUGAGACACACGCAUCUUUGUGUGCCCCAAAGAAUAAAGCCCUCAAAGGAUGUGAAGCCUGAACUCACUUCAAAUGCUGGAAAGGCCCUUUCCUUAGCUGAGCUGUGGAGGAACCAGGACUCCUGUGGCACUGCCCUAACGAGGAGGCAGUGCUGCCAGAUUCAGAAAAAUAUUUGAAGAAUCACAUAGUCAAAAGCAAAAAUCCAGAAAUGGUCAAGAGAACUACGAUUAUUGAGCCUCACUGAGUGUUCACACUGGUCUGCAAGACAGCUUUGAUUCAGCUGAUUUCAGCCAGGCUCACCCCGACUUUGCAGGGCGCUGCGAACCCCAGCCUUCAGGUCGGGUUCAGCAUCCAGCAGUGCCCUGGAAAAGUGGCUGUGAAGUUACUUGCAAGACUGCAUUGAACCCGGGCGAGACACUUCUCAGGGGAGCUGUCCAGCUACAUUCUCUGAGUGAAGGCAAGUGUAGUCACUUUUCUCUGCUAUGUUAAUAUGUGCCAUGAGUUUUAAAAGACUCUCCCUUCAGUCAGCGGAUGACAUCUGCUGCUUAGCAAGAAGGCAAAGCUCCGUUUGUCUAAUCAGCUACAUGUUGGGAUUUGAAAACAUGGCACCAAGACCCCUGAAAGAUAUGUUAGAAACAAGUUUUCUGGUUUGGGAUUCAUGAGAAUUUCUUGGCUCCCAAGCAGACCCAACUUUAACAGUGACAGGGGCAGACAUGUGGUGGAAUGUGGGGAAGAUUCUGGGAGCACCACCUGGCUAUGAGAAGCUUAGGAUAUUUUCCCAUGGUUAAAAAUAAAAUAAAGUCGAUGUUUUGGAAAGUGGUGAGAAACAGAUGGGGGUGAAGGAUGAGUACCCCCAUUGCAUUGUUGAGGACCCUGAAGUUUACUCACAUAUCAGGGCUCAUAAGUGAAUUGAAGAAGGAAGCCAGGUGUCUUUGAGCCAGGUUGGCUCCACAGCAGCCAGACUACCCUGCUGCUGGGGAAGUCACAGAAGAGGCUCUGGCAUAAGCACCAAUUCUUAGGAGGCCACAUAGUCAUUCUUCUUGAUGCUCAUUGUUUUUAAGGCCCUGGGUGAGUGGAAGAAGAUCUUUUGUUAUGUGUGUCCUUGUCACCACUGAUUUCUGGGAUUCCACAUUAUUUUGGCUUAUUUCUCCAUUGAUAUAAUUGUAACUUGUAAUGUUAGAACUCUGGGAGAAUAAAUUCCAAAUGAGCUCUUGAUGUCAAUUAAUAGGUUCAUGCCAAUUUUCUUGGGUUUGGAGAUGUGAAGAUACACAAAAGAAAGUACAGUCUUUGCUUUAAAGCAGCUCACAGACUAAUGGAGUGGAUGCCACUGAACCAAAGAUUCCAGUAAAGUAUGAAAGGGGUCUAGAGAUUUAUGUCCAAGUUGUUCUGGGGCCAUUUAGAGGAGGUGGGAGUACAGGAUGAUGGUAGGGGAAGGCUUCCCAGAAAAAAGAAAUCGAGUUCAGGUUUUGCUGGAAAAAAAAAAGUGACCGGGGGAUAAGUAGAAAGAAUUGUAGAAAAAGGGAAGAACAGGUGCAGGCUCUCAGGCUCCCAGCCAUCAGCUAUCCCAAGUAUUUCUUGAAUUGUUGUGACAUACCAGGCAUUGCCCUUCAUGCUGCAGUACAGUGAUGUUCUCUAAAUAAGGCUCAGUUGGAAUAUUUCAAUCUCUCAGCAGUUUGCUUUCCUCACCUUGCCCCUUAAAAAUUCCCCGGCUUGUGGGAAUGGGAAUGGAAUUGUUGGAAAAGGGCAGAGUAGAUUUUAAAAAUCACUUCAUUCCCUGUUGUGUGGGAAAGUUUCCCAGGAAGAGACUGCCAAGCCCAGGAAGAUACAUAUAUAUGCAAAUUCCCCGGCAAAAUGUUUUCUAGCCCCUCAACCUCAAUCUACAGAAGUUUCCGUUAUCAUAGGCUACAAUCUGAUGCAGUGUGUGGUCCUACCCUGACCCUAUUUCAAGGGAGUUUUUCACAGACCUCAUUACCACUUAAGUUUUUAGGAAGGGGCUUGAAAACAGAAGGAGAUAGACUAAAAGACAUUGUACAGGGACAGCGGGGAGCCACAGCCCUGCCUAAAGAAUGAAAGUUGGUUGUUCUGGAAAGAUGUACAAAUAAGCCAGAAGAAUAAAAAAUGCUCACAUUUGCAGAGCUCUUCACCAUUUAAAAACCAAUCCAUUCCUCAUCAUGGGAAAUUAUCCCCAAUUUGAAGAUAUGAAAAUUGAGGCUUGGGGAGAUUGAAUGAGUUGCUACUAAAAGGACCUGGACCUGAACCCAGAGCUUUGACUCCAGAUCUGCUGUUUCCUUCACGUAUAUCAUUGUUAU
This 2473-nucleotide long non-coding RNA is filed under the name Homo sapiens (human). RNAcentral describes it as "HSALNT0383163". The record is from RNAcentral. Lineage: Eukaryota; Metazoa; Chordata; Mammalia; Primates; Hominidae.